Long non-coding RNA from Hydractinia symbiolongicarpus, 788 nucleotides. RefSeq lists it as uncharacterized. The transcript is spliced from 2 exons. Lineage: Eukaryota; Metazoa; Cnidaria; Hydrozoa; Anthoathecata; Hydractiniidae. The record is from RefSeq and is a predicted model, not a curated record.
UGGGCAGAAGCAAUGCAUAUAAGGACAAACAAGAAACAAAGAAGGCAGAUAAUAAAAGGAGGAUUGAAUUACAUAGUAUGUAAAUCUGUGGAGACUUUGAUAAAGACUUCAUGAAAUGUUAUAACACCAUUGCGGGGACAUUGGUGUACCUCGUGUUGAGGAGAAGUCUGGCGAAGACAGUGAUUUUGAUUUCCCAUGGAAGGAAAAUACAGAGAUUGAUGGUAAGUAGAAUUGUUGUUACAUUUCUUGACACUUCAUAUAUCAUGAUUUUACACUCAUUGUGAAAACAUUCGGGUUGAGGUACUGUAGGGUUUAAAAAAUAGUGGCGACAACGAAAAUGAGUUGUUGAAAAAAUGCGAAGAAGAAGUCGGCAUACUCAAAAAAGAAAUGUCUAGCUAGUGGCUUUUUUACAGUAUAAUUGGAAAAUGAGAUAGAUGUCAAUAGCUUCAACUUUUAUGCGAAUGAGUGCUUACCAAUGGCGAAAAGGUUAAUCCUGAAGAGAGGCAUGUUUCCCUGUCCGGCUCAGACAGUGACCCGGAAUAAUGUAACUGCUAUCGUCUGUAUUUAUUAUUUGAACUACCAUAGCUCUUUUCCGGGAUUACAUAUUUUUUUAAGAUUUCGUAUCGUAUCCGAAAUCUUGUUUAAACGGGCUUUUUCCUCCUUCGUUUUCCUUCUUAUCCUUCUCACUCAUUUCACACAGUAUGUUCUAUUGUUUGUAAUCUCUUUAAUAAUAGCCGUCGUCUGUCUGUCUGUGUGUCCGCGAAAGCCGUGUCCCGUAACGGAAACAC